AUACAGAGGGUGCGAGCGUUAAUCGGAAUUACUGGGCGUAAAGCGCGCGUAGGCGGCUUAUUAAGUCAGAUGUGAAAUCCCCGGGCUCUACCUGGGAACUGCAUCUGAUACUGGUAAGCUAGAGUUUUGGAGAGGGAAGUAGAAUUUCAGGUGUAGCGGUGAAAUGCAUAGAGAUCUGAAGGAAUACCAGUGGCGAAGGCGACUUCCUGGCCAAAAACUGACGCUGAGGUGCGAAAGCGUGGGUAGCAAACGGGAUUAGAAACCCUAGUAGUCC
Molecule: ribosomal RNA, 274 nt
Filed under: uncultured bacterium
Lineage: Bacteria
Description: partial 16S ribosomal RNA
Rfam family: Bacterial small subunit ribosomal RNA
Source: RNAcentral